Small nucleolar RNA from Juglans regia (Persian walnut), 106 nucleotides. Lineage: Eukaryota; Viridiplantae; Streptophyta; Magnoliopsida; Fagales; Juglandaceae. The record is from RefSeq and is a predicted model, not a curated record.
AAUCCUUGUUGAGGGCAAUGUCGACCAAAUCUUCAUAGAUUUCCCAUACCUCGUAGAACAAUUCGAAAUCAUUUUGUUUGAAUUGAGAAAUCUCGCUUCUAAGUUA